UGGGGAAUAUUGCACAAUGGGGGAAACCCUGAUGCAGCGACGCCGCGUGAGCGAAGAAGUAUUUCGGUAUGUAAAGCUCUAUCAGCAGGGAAGAAACUGACGGUACCUGACUAAGAAGCACCGGCUAAAUACGUGCCAGCAGCCGCGGUAAUACGUAUGGUGCAAGCGUUAUCCGGAUUUACUGGGUGUAAAGGGAGCGUAGACGGAUGGGCAAGUCUGAAGUGAAAGCCCGGGGCUCAACCCCGGGACUGCUUUGGAAACUGUUCAUCUGGAGUGCUGGAGAGGUAAGUGGAAUUCCUAGUGUAGCGGUGAAAUGCGUAGAUAUUAGGAGGAACACCAGUGGCGAAGGCGGCUUACUGGACAGUAACUGACGUUGAGGCUCGAAAGCGUGGGGAGCAAACA
This 402-nucleotide ribosomal RNA is filed under the name uncultured bacterium. RNAcentral describes it as "bacterial SSU rRNA". It matches the Rfam family "Bacterial small subunit ribosomal RNA", at positions 355 to 774 of the family's 1533-position model. RNAcentral also lists the same sequence under 1 other name. The record is from RNAcentral.